This 23-nucleotide non-coding RNA is filed under the name Arabidopsis thaliana (thale cress). The record is from RNAcentral. Lineage: Eukaryota; Viridiplantae; Streptophyta; Magnoliopsida; Brassicales; Brassicaceae.
UUGUGAGAUUUAUUUAGGUUCUA